AGCUCGUGUCGUGAGAUGUAGGGUUAAGUCCCGCAACGAGCGCAACCCUUGUCUUUAAUUGCCAUCAUUGAGUUGGGCACUUUAAAGAGACUGCCGGUGUUAAACCGGAGGAAGGUGGGGAUGACGUCAAGUCCUCAUGGCCUUUAUGCCCAGGGCUACACACGUGCUACAAUGGGUGGUACAAAGAGCAGCCAGCUCGCGAGAGUGAGCAAAUCUCAAAAAGCCAUCCUCAGUUCGGAUUGAAGUCUGCAACUCGACUUCAUGAAGUUGGAAUCGCUAGUAAUCGCGGAUCAGCAUGCCGCGGUCGAAUACGUUCCGGCCUU
This 323-nucleotide ribosomal RNA is filed under the name uncultured Syntrophus sp. RNAcentral's name for it is "bacterial SSU rRNA". It matches the Rfam family "Bacterial small subunit ribosomal RNA", at positions 1057 to 1374 of the family's 1533-position model. Lineage: Bacteria; Pseudomonadati; Thermodesulfobacteriota; Syntrophia; Syntrophales; Syntrophaceae. The record is from RNAcentral.